AGGAGGUUAUCGGCUGUGCUAAGCACAGCCUAGGCCCCCUAUAAUCUAUUGUCAUAUAAAAUAAGAUUAACAGUAAUGUUUGCGAAAUAGCAUUCUUAAAAUUAUAAAUUACCAAUCAAGUAUGCAGCUAACAAUAUGAGACUAAACAAAACAAAAAAAUCAUUAGCAUUGCAAAAGAGAAGAGAAGAUGACAAAAGAUUGGCAAGUAGUUUGACAAAUAGCUUAACAUCUUCAAGUGCAAGUUAGUCUUACAGAGACAAGAGAUGACUUGCUAAAUACUUAAUAUAAAGUGCAAUCAUAGGCUGCAAUUACAAAAGAUCACAUAUUGAGAUCCAUUAAGGUGCACAAAAGAACAAGUGGUUAAUUGAUCACAGCCAAUGCCCAUUGAGAUUAAUUGAUUGCUGUCAAGAAGUAACCCUACGCACAAAAAAAAAACACAAAAGGGACAUCCUCAUGAAAUACACAAAAAUGAGUCCAACAUCUAGUGAGGAUUUAUAAAUUUUCAAUAUAAAAGGUUCAAGAAAACAUGUCAGAAAACUAAACUUUCCAAGACACAACUAAGAGGAUAAACACUUCAUGAUAACCAAAAUUGAAACUUACAUCUAAUAGGCCAUAAAAACAGAAAAAUAAAUGAAAAAAAAUCCAAAGCAGAGUAUAAACUGUAAUAAUACAUCUUCCCUAGCACACAGAUGUAGUCUUAUUGCAAAAAAUCAUUUUUUCAUAUUCCUUUUUAAAUAUCAAUUAGAGAUAUGAUUUAUACAUCUUAAUAUUUUUUCCCACACUGUAAAAAUAUAAGUUUUAACAUAUUUUUUCCAAUAAGUCCUAGACAAAUAAAAACCUAAGAAAUUACUUUCUAAACACAUAAGGCUCAUAACUGGCAUAUUUGUUUUUAUUUUUGUGCCAUCAAUUAAAUCAUCUCUUAUCCAAUCUCUAUGUAUUGUGAAAAAUUUAUCAAUUUUUCAUAUCUCUUCCUGUCACUAAUCCAAGGAAUAAGGAGAGUGUUUAUAAAAUUAAAUAAAGGCGAUGCACUUAUAUAUGCUUUGUAAAUAAUUAACCUAGCAUUUAAACCCCUUCUCAUUAUGUUUAUACUCUCAUUAGACAAAAAAUAUCAAUUUUGGUAUUUAUUUUCCCUUAAAGUAUAAAUAAUUUUAAAAAUUUAUAAAAAGAAUAAAUAAGGUUGCAUUCUAAAUAUUAACCUUGCAUUUUAACGCUCAGGUAAGGACAAAAAUAUUAACCUUGCAUUUGAAUGCUCGGGUAAGGACAAAGUGUCUAGGUAGAGAAUCUAAUGACUUAGAACUUAGAAUAAUAAUCAUUUCCCAACUUUAUUUUCACAAGAAAAUGCUCAGUUUUUCAGUAGAUUAAAUUUGCUCAUAUUUAGCAUUGUCAUUAUUUAAAAAUUAUUGGCAACUUAAGCAUGCUAAUUUCAAAACUCUAGCUUCAAAAUAGAGUUUUAACAUCUACAGGAGUACAAGGAAGAAAAGAGCAGGGACAAAAAAUUAUUAGAAGUACCGAGAAUUUUUUGUCAGUAUCAUAGAGUAGGCAAUUAAAUAGCAAGAAAAAUAGUCAAAUAGUCAAAGCUACAGAAGUAAAGCUAAAAUUGAAUCACAAGCUCAAGACAUACAAAUUAUUAAAUAUAAUUCAACAAUUGAAUUUGACAAUCAAAAUUAAGGCUCAGAUUAUUAGUUAAUAAAAGCUUUGCUAAAAGAAGAGCACAAGCAUUUGAACUCAACAAAUAGCCCUAUAGAUUCCAAAUAAGAAAAAUUACUCUUCUGUGACUCACUUAUUUCUCCAAUUAGCAGCAAGAAUAAAACAAAACAUUUUUGAAUAACCUAACAGCUAAAAAGAAGCAAGAAAUACCUAUUACUCAAUUGAUGGUAGCAAGAUUUGUUUUAAUUUGUUGCCUCCUACAAUAACAACAAAAAUUCAUUCAGAUACUCACCAAAUAAAUGAAAAAGCAUUCUUCUUUUGCAUCGUUUAUAGUUUAACGUAACCCAUAGGCAGUAGUGGAGUUGUGGAAGCAUGCACAUUUUACGUGAGCAACAAGUGCCCAUUUCCCAUAUGGCCUGCCACUGCCCCGAACCAAGGCUUUCCAGUCGUAGCAAACGGUGGCUUCUAUCUUCCAUCCGGGAGACUCCGGAAAUUCCAGGCACCAGGAGAUUCGAGUGGCCGCAUCUGGGCCAGAACAGGCUGCAAUUUCGACUACUCCAACGACGGACGAGCCUGUGAAACAGGCGACUGCAACGGGCGACUCGAAUGCGCCGGGGUGAUCGGCGUUCCUCCUGUGACGCUAGUAGAGUUUACGUUGCAGGUUGACAAGAGGCAGCCGAGUUUCUACGACGUAAGUAUAGUGGAUGGCUACAACCUCCCUGUUUCAGUGACCCCAUAUCCUACAGCACCAAAAUGCUACAUCGGAGGGUGCUUCUCAGAUAUAAAAAAGGAGUGCCCUGGGGAGCUAGCGGUCCUGAAUGAGCUCGGAACUUUUUCUUAAGAGUUUGAUAUUAUCAAGCCACCAAAAAAGAAGCAAAAAACAAUCAUGUUACGCUACACUCAGUUUUCAAAAAAUAGGAAAAAAUUGGAAAAGACCUUUAAGUUAACAUAAGUUUUGAAACUUACCAGUGAAUUCAAUGCAGAGAAGAAGAAGAAUCUGGACAGCAAGUUGAGUGACAAUGUUGAACCACUUAGAUUACUCUAAAAUCCAUCAAAUGGCCAACAUUUGAUUCAAAAUAAAGCUAAUUUAUUAGUUUUAGAUAUCAAUAGAAACACAAAUGAAGCAAUUCUUUUGUUUAAAGAACCUUCUCAAGAGAUCCAAAAAACACCAUCUAGAUUUAUUGUUGCAUUUGCAAUCAACCUAAGAACCAAUUAUCCCAAGUUUCAGACAGACAUUUCAUCAAACAUUUGAUAGCCAUGCCUAUGAGAUUUCACAUAUUCACUUGAAGGCAGUGUCAUACUAAAACCAUGUUUUGAGUUAAUGAAGCAAAUAUAACAUAAGCAAUCAUUGUAAGGGAUCAUAACAUACCUGAGAUAAGUGAUAAGAAAGCAUCAAAACAGGGAGUAAUAAUACUUGAAGUAGAACUGAAUUUGUACGAGAAUUUCGGAAGAACAAACUAAGCUACCGUUGGACUAAUAAAUGAAAAAAACAAUGAACUUUGACAAUUAAAAGUAAAGCUCCAAUUUGUUUGUCAAUGGCAGGCGAAGAAGAAGAGCACAACCAUGGCUGCAAACUCAGUUGCAGUUCUGGAAUAAUAUAUACUCCAAAAUGCCAUCUGAGUUGCCUCGCCAAGAUACAGCUUAAAUCCAGUUAGUAUCAAGCCUGAAAUACAACUCACGGCAACAAUAUUGUAUCAUCACAGCCGAAAAUGAGAACAAAAUAAAUUCACCUAUUUCUGAUCUUCAUCUGUUGUGAAAAUCCAACAAAAAAAUCAACACUAUAUUCGAACAAAAUUUAGAUCCAUUAAACCCUGGUAAGGAAAUAAAAAGAAGAAAAAACAAAUGUUCAAACCAAAAAGGAAAUAACAAAAAAUUGUACUUCCAUAUGAAAUAGCACAUACCGAAUCAAGAGGGAAAAAAGCCAAAACCAGAGUGAACGAAGGUUAGAAUGAGAGUGUGAUUAGAGAAAGAGACGUGCAAAUACAGAUAAAAGGUACAGGCUAAGUGAAUAGGAUCCUACUUCUCAGCAGAACUGGAAUAAGGGAAAAAUCACAUCCAAGCAGAUAUUUGUAAUCGUAAUCAUACGGAUGAUGAAGGUUGAAUAGAAAGCAUAAUUUGGGUGGAAAAUUGAAUACCAAAGCUGAUCAGAAUAGAAUGGCAUACCUAAAAAAAAAUUCCCCAUUUCACUCCUUUGAAGUACAACUAUCACGUGAGGCUCCAACAAUUCGGCAACAUGAGACGAAAUCGAUACAGAAACGGGUUAAUUGGAUAUCAGAGAAAGAGGGAAAAACGGCUAGUGUAAGCAAAGUAGUUCACCUGCACCCAAUUCUCCUGCUCUGAAGUACAAAGGCCAUGUGAAUGAUCAGCAAAUCAAGCGGCUGCAGGAGUAGCAGCUGACCUGUUGGCUUAAAGAAGGAAGUCACAAAGAGAUGAGAUGGUGGGUUUGGUAGCAUAGCCGGUUGGGAUGGGACUUGCUCAGAAUAGGUGUGCUGAAUUUUGCUCAGAAUAGGCGCGUGGUAGAGAGAGCAGGAAAAGGCUUCAAUGCAAUUUGAGGGGAAGACGGUGGAAUGGCAAAAGAAGGAAAAUAAAUAGAAGACUUCGGUCGGUCAAGAGAAGCUUUGUAAGAAACACUUUACUUGCCAUUUGUCAGAUAAUUAAGGAACCACGUGGCAAGAGGAAAGGAAAGCAUUAAAUCUGGCUGUUUUCUUAUAUACAAGACUAGGGGGUUAUCGGCUGUGCUAAGCACAGCCUAGGCCCCCUAUAAUCUGUUAGCAAAUAAUAACCAAUCAAGUAUGUAGCUAAGAAUAUGAGACUAAACAAAACAUCACCAAUCAUUAGUAUUGCAACAGAUAAAAGAAGAUGACAAAAGGUUGACAAGUAGUUUCAUAAAUAGCUUAACAUCUUCAAAUAUAAAGUGCAAUCAUAGGCUGCAAUUACAAAAGAUCACAUAUUGAGAUCCAUUAAGGUGCACAAAAGAACAAUUUCUUAAUGGAUGUCAAUAUUAAUGCAGCUGUAAAGUGUUUUAACAUUAGCAAAAUGAAGAAUUCAAAAGGCUUCAAGGAAGUUCAG
Molecule: long non-coding RNA, 4716 nt
Filed under: Coffea arabica (coffee)
Lineage: Eukaryota; Viridiplantae; Streptophyta; Magnoliopsida; Gentianales; Rubiaceae
Description: long non-coding RNA (CARA_LNC000525)
Source: RNAcentral